RNAcentral lists this unclassified non-coding RNA (395 nucleotides) under soil metagenome. RNAcentral describes it as "partial contains 5.8S ribosomal RNA, internal transcribed spacer 2, and large subunit ribosomal RNA". The stretch from base 1 to 120 matches the Rfam family "5.8S ribosomal RNA", at positions 35 to 154 of the family's 154-position model. The record is from RNAcentral.
GAUGAAGAACGUAGCGAAAUGCGAUAAGUAAUGUGAAUUGCAGAAUUCAGUGAAUCAUCGAAUCUUUGAACGCAUCUUGCGCUCCUUGGUAUUCCGAGGAGCAUGCCUGUUUGAGUGUCAUUUUAACUUCUCAACCAUAUCGAGUUGUUUUUCGAGGUGGCUUGGACAUGGGGGUUUUUGCAGGCUUUAAUAAUGAAGUCGGCUCCUCUGAAAUGCAUUAGUGGUAUCUGAAGCAGAACUGCUACUAUUAGGUGUGAUAAUUAUCUAUGCCUCUUGGUAUACUGCAUGAACAGAUUGCGCUGCUUCCAACUUGUACACCCUUUGGUGUUUGACAAAUUUGACCUCAAAUCAGGUAGGACUACCCGCUGAACUUAAGCAUAUCAAUAAGCGGAGGA